This 251-nucleotide ribosomal RNA is filed under the name uncultured prokaryote. RNAcentral describes it as "partial 16S rRNA". It matches the Rfam family "Bacterial small subunit ribosomal RNA", at positions 525 to 775 of the family's 1533-position model. The record is from RNAcentral.
ACAGAGGUCCCAAGCGUUGUUCGGAUUCACUGGGCGUAAAGGGUGCGCAGGCGGAAUGAUAAGUCAGUGGUGAAAUCCUACAGCUCAACUGUAGAACUGCCAUUGAUACUGUUGUUCUUGAGUACACUUGGAGUGGGCGGAAUGUGUCAUGUAGCGGUGAAAUGCUUAGAUAUGACACAGAACACCGAUCGCGAAGGCAGCUCACUAAAUUGUAACUGACGCUCAUGCACGAAAGCGUGGGGAUCAAACAG